This 366-nucleotide ribosomal RNA is filed under the name uncultured organism. RNAcentral describes it as "bacterial SSU rRNA". It matches the Rfam family "Bacterial small subunit ribosomal RNA", at positions 526 to 896 of the family's 1533-position model. The record is from RNAcentral.
CGGAGGAUCCAAGCGUUAUCCGGAAUCAUUGGGUUUAAAGGGUCCGUAGGCGGUUUGAUAAGUCAGUGGUGAGAGCCCAUCGCUCAACGAUGGAACGGCCAUUGAUACUGUCAGACUUGAAUUACUGGGAAGUAACUAGAAUAUGUAGUGUAGCGGUGAAAUGCUUAGAUAUUACAUGGAAUACCAAUUGCGAAGGCAGGUUACUACCAGUGGAUUGACGCUGAUGGACGAAAGCGUGGGGAGCGAACAGGAUUAGAUACCCUGGUAGUCCACGCCGUAAACGAUGGAUACUAGCUGUUCGGAGCAAUCUGAGUGGCUAAGCGAAAGUGAUAAGUAUCCCACCUGGGGAGUACGUUCGCAAGAAUG